GUCUCUCUAAAUUGCCGAGGGACUCACUAAAUUGCCUAGUCUGGCCUCCAAUUACGAUUCUCCUGCCUCAGCCUCCAGAGUCGCUGAGAUUACAAGUGUGUGCCACCACGCCCAGCUGGUUCCUUUGACCUUACUGCGAAUCCCAUUACCCAGGGCACCAGUUUCCUCUCAGUGGAGUAUGGAGCAGAGAAGUUAGGACAUGAAGAGGAGGUCCUCAGUGCCCGCUGGCCAUCCCUGUUCUGCCCCAGGAACUCUCUUCCUCCCUUUGGGCCCUCCAGGCUCCUCUCCACAUGCAGCGAGCUUUGCCCACCACCUCGGGCUGCUCUCCAGGGCUUGGUGGCUUUAGGUCUCAUCACAGAGAAGCUUUCAGCCUAAAGUCUCAUCACAUCUGGGUGACUUCUGCCAUGCUCCACAGAGGUCUGCCAACAUGCUUCUGCUGCCAUGAUGUACUUUACCACCACAGGUGCAAAGCAACUGGGCCAAGUGACCAUGGACUAAAACCUCUGAGACUAUGACCCAAAAUAAAUAAAUAAAUCCUAACUCUCACUUUUUUUUUUUGAGACCAGGUCUUGGAAAUUGCUGCUGAUCCUCCCAAGAGGAGGAAAC
Molecule: long non-coding RNA, 606 nt
Organism: Marmota monax (woodchuck)
Lineage: Eukaryota; Metazoa; Chordata; Mammalia; Rodentia; Sciuridae
Exons: 3
Source: RefSeq, a predicted model, not a curated record